AUUGAACGCUGGCGGCAGGCCUAAAACAUGCAAGUCGAACGAGUGGCGGACGGGUGAGUAAUGUCUGGGAAACUGCCUGAUGGAGGGGGAUAACUACUUGAAACGGUAGCUAAUACCGCAUACCCUGGUUUGUGACCAGAUGGGAUUAGCCAGAAGGUGGGGUAAAGGCUCACCUAGGCGACGAUCCCUAGCAGGUCUGAGAGGAGGAACAGCCACACUGGAACUGAGACACGCUCCAGACUCCUACGGGAGGCAGCAGUGGGGAAUAUUGCACAAUGGGCGCAAGCCUGAUGCAGCCAUGCCGCGUGUAUGAAGAAGGCCUUCGGGUUGUAAAGUACUUUCAGCGGGGAGGCGUUACCCGCAGAAGAAGCACCGGCUAACUACGUGCCAGCAGCCGCGGUAAUUC
This 406-nucleotide ribosomal RNA is filed under the name uncultured bacterium. Its description in RNAcentral is "partial 16S ribosomal RNA". It matches the Rfam family "Bacterial small subunit ribosomal RNA", at positions 30 to 526 of the family's 1533-position model. The record is from RNAcentral.